GAUGAACGCUGGCGGCGUGCCUAAUACAUGCAAGUCGAGCGAACAGAUAAGGAGCUUGCUCCUUUGACGUUAGCGGCGGACGGGUGAGUAACACGUGGGUAACCUACCUAUAAGACUGGGAUAACUUCGGGAAACCGGAGCUAAUACCGGAUAAUAUUUCGAACCGCAUGGUUCGAUAGUGAAAGAUGGUUUUGCUAUCACUUAUAGAUGGACCCGCGCCGGAUUAGCUAGUUGGUAAGGUAACGGCUUACCAAGGCGACGAUACGUAGCCGACCUGAGAGGGUGAUCGGCCACACUGGAACUGAGACACGGCCCAGACUCCUACGGGAGGCAGCAGUAGGGAAUCUUCCGCAAUGGGCGAAAGCCUGACGGAGCAACGCCGCGUGAGUGAUGAAGGUCUUCGGAUCGUAAAACUCUGUUAUUAGGGAAGAACAUACGUGUAAGUAACUGUGCACGUCUUGACGGUACCUAAUCAGAAAGCCACGGCUAACUACGUG
RNAcentral lists this ribosomal RNA (497 nucleotides) under uncultured bacterium. RNAcentral's name for it is "partial 16S ribosomal RNA". It matches the Rfam family "Bacterial small subunit ribosomal RNA", at positions 28 to 507 of the family's 1533-position model. The record is from RNAcentral.